UACAGAGGGGGCAAGCGUUGUUCGGAAUUACUGGGCGUAAAGGGCGCGUAGGCGGCCUGUUAAGUCGAACGUGAAAUCCCCGGGCUCAACCCGGGAACUGCGUCCGAUACUGGCAGGCUUGAAUUCGGGAGAGGGAUGCGGAAUUCCAGGUGUAGCGGUGAAGUGCGUAGAUAUCUGGAGGAACACCGGUGGCGAAGGCGGCAUCCUGGACCAACACUGACGCUGAGGAACGAAAGCCAGGGGAGCAAACGGG
Molecule: ribosomal RNA, 253 nt
Filed under: uncultured bacterium
Lineage: Bacteria
Description: partial 16S ribosomal RNA
Rfam family: Bacterial small subunit ribosomal RNA
Source: RNAcentral